CCAGCACAGGAAACAUUACAUCAGCUCCAGUCUCCAACUCCAUCAGCCUGACUUCCUCAUUAAUACCACAUUUCAUGGUUGACCAUGCAUCUGACAACUUCAUGGGCUCCAGUGAAGCCACAUUUCUUGUUCCAAGAUGUUGACAUGCAAUGGCAACAUAGCACAGUGGAGACUAUGUGUGAUUCUGGAGAUAACUGAGCACUACCCAGCUGUGUGCUGAAGGAGGCAAGGAGACCACUGGAAAAUGUCAUUCAGUAAUGUGGUUGGAUGUGAUGGCCCUUGUGUUUGCAUUUCUAAACUUUAGAAAUCUUGACUUAAUAUGUUUCCCGUCUGCAGUU
This is a long non-coding RNA of Passer domesticus (house sparrow), 338 nucleotides long. RefSeq lists it as uncharacterized. NCBI's taxonomy places the organism in Eukaryota, Metazoa, Chordata, Aves, Passeriformes, Passeridae. The transcript has 3 exons. The record is from RefSeq and is a predicted model, not a curated record.